AACAGUAGAUGACGAUUCCUUGCCUUGAAGAAGUAAUGGCCUACGUUGUCGAACAUUCAGACCCACUGGAGGCGUUCUACAGCCUGGAGCCCGCUGAUAAGGAUUUUGAUGCGACUUGACUGGAAUUGCACCCACAGCCUUUUGUCAGGCCUGUGACAGGCUGACUGUGGUUGCAAGAUGUUAGCCGAAGCCCCACACCAUGAUUAGGGCAUUGGUUCUUGGUCAUCGGUUACCUUAAAGAGGUACCACAGCCUGGCGUUAUUCUCCGUUGACGAUAGAUCCCUGCAAAGUGUACUUGACUGGCUGCACCUGUCUAACACGACUGCAACCAGCAGCUGGAGUGGGUGCUGCAUGGUGUUCAAAGCACAUGUCCAUUACCCGGAGCCAGUGCCCGUCAGUGGUGUAACUACCAUUCUCAUCAAACAUCACAAGCUGCUUGGAGUUCCAGUUUUGACGAAACUUGCUGGUCUCUAGGAUUCUUAAUCCUAGUAUUUGCUUCCUACACCAGCCACAGUGUUUUUCUUCCCUCGUUCCUUUUUUUCAUCCUUUUUCUUGUGUGUUAACCUUUCAGUGGACCCUGCAAUGCAUUUCAACAAAAUACAGGCAUUCUGGUCUGUUUGCAUCCGCAGCAGGUACACUGGGAACCAUGUGGAGAUUGUGGGUCGAUAUUUAGUGCAUCUGGGUGGCAUCCCACUAAGGCUUUCGAGCACCCAGGGCAUGAUACGAACCCCGAGCACGGAAAGACGGCUCUUUUCUGCAAAUGCUCCUCUGCAGCCCGUUUCCGCAUUCACACACAUUAUGGCUGUUUUAGCUCCGUUAGUGCUUGCUGUCGCAGACAGUAUUGUCCGGUGCUACUGCUAGCUCAAAUGGCAUGGAAUGACGGUUCUCAUCACUCGUCAAUGACAAUGGCUUCUUACAAACCCGGCUGCCGCGCUUCUUUGAGAAUAUUUUAAACUUCAAUGUACUCCUGAAUGAUCGGAUAUGCGGAGCCGGCUAGCAGUGUCUGCUCUAUGAUUUCACACGACUACUGCAGUUCAUUCUUCCAAACUCAAUGUUUUAAGAGUUCCACAUGUUUCCUGAAACCAUGUUUUCGACGAAAUUCACCACGAUAUUCCCCGAAAUCAAUGAUUGGGGCACUGAAAGCUGCUUUACCCCUGUGUACUGUACUCUGUAGCUCACUCCAUAUUGGCAUAUUCACCUACAUACAAUUUCCCAUCUACAUAAGUAGUGAAUAUUGCUCAAUAUUCACCGCUAUAGGUGUUCAUACUGUGAAUCAUUAUUCAUCAUGGUUAUACAAUAAGCGUGAACAAGGCGA
Long non-coding RNA from Sycon ciliatum, 1315 nucleotides. RefSeq lists it as uncharacterized. Lineage: Eukaryota; Metazoa; Porifera; Calcarea; Leucosolenida; Sycettidae. The record is from RefSeq and is a predicted model, not a curated record. The transcript is spliced from 4 exons.